UUGACAAUACCAUUGCACUGCUUCUCACAGCACAGUAGUGCAACCUAGUCAGAGCGCCCGCAGCCAGCAGGAAAUCCAUCGCCCUCCCUACACGCUGGAAGGGCUGCGCUGGAAGUUCAACCACCAUGGGUGGGUGGGAACUCUACCCAAUCCUCGGAGAACAGAAGGGAUUCCAGCCGAGGAUGCAGUCCUCUGGUCUUACGAACUUCGGAGCACUCCAACUUUCUCCAACACGAUUCUGAUUCUGAUUCUCCUGCUUGGAAGAACAGAAAGAGGGCUUCCUGGCCUCUGGAGUUUCCCUGGCUUCACCGCACACCCUAUACCAGACCAGCUACUCACGUGGACAGAUACCUCUUGUUCUCAAUCGCGGGGACAAGGUGAAGAUUAGUGGAAGACCCUGGUAGGCGGUGGCCCGGUCCUAUCCGGACGACUGGGCACCUCCGCACCUCGUGGCGCCCUCUCCCCCUCGGCUCCAUCUUUAACCCCCUGACAGUCCGGAGGGCCGAGCCCCAGGCCUCAAGGCACAGCGCCAGCCUUAUUGGCUUGCGCCUACACCAAGCUUUUCCUCCUGCUCACCUAUUGGCUACUGCUGGAAAGAUUUCAAAAUAGCCUCCAGGCUCCGAUUGGCCAGGCGCCCGAGUUUUGGCUCCACCGUUUUAACAAUGAGUUCUACAAA
Molecule: long non-coding RNA, 676 nt
Organism: Mastomys coucha (southern multimammate mouse)
Lineage: Eukaryota; Metazoa; Chordata; Mammalia; Rodentia; Muridae
Exons: 2
Source: RefSeq, a predicted model, not a curated record